Molecule: ribosomal RNA, 274 nt
Filed under: uncultured bacterium
Lineage: Bacteria
Description: partial 16S ribosomal RNA
Rfam family: Bacterial small subunit ribosomal RNA
Source: RNAcentral
AUACGGAGGGUGCAAGCGUUGUUCGGAAUCACUGGGCGUAAAGGGCGCGCAGGCGGUUUGGUAAGUCAGAUGUGAAAGCCCAUGGCUCAACCAUGGAAGUGCAUUUGAGACUGUCAGACUUGAGUACUAGAGGGGAAAGUGGAAUUCCCGGUGUAGAGGUGAAAUUCGUAGAUAUCGGGAGGAAUACCGGUGGCGAAGGCGACUUUCUGGCUAGAUACUGACGCUGAGGCGCGAAAGCGUGGGGAGCAAACAGGAUUAGAUACCCCAGUAGUCC